This 590-nucleotide ribosomal RNA is filed under the name uncultured bacterium. RNAcentral's name for it is "bacterial SSU rRNA". It matches the Rfam family "Bacterial small subunit ribosomal RNA", at positions 334 to 917 of the family's 1533-position model. The record is from RNAcentral.
UACUCCUACGGGAGGCAGCAGUGGGGAAUAUUGCACAAUGGGCGCAAGCCUGAUGCAGCGACGCCGCGUGAGGGAUGGAGGCCUUCGGGUUGUAAACCUCUUUCGCCAGUGAAGCAGGCCUGCUCCUUGUGGGUGGGUUGACGGUAGCUGGAUAAGAAGCGCCGGCUAACUACGUGCCAGCAGCCGCGGUAAUACGUAGGGCGCGAGCGUUGUCCGGAAUUAUUAGGCGUAAAGAGCUCGUAGGCGGCUGGUCGCGUCUGUCGUGAAAUCCUCUGGCUUAACUGGGGGCUUGCGGUGGGUACGGGCCGGCUUGAGUGCGGUAGGGGAGACUGGAACUCCUGGUGUAGCGGUGGAAUGCGCAGAUAUCAGGAAGAACACCGGUGGCGAAGGCGGGUCUCUGGGCCGUUACUGACGCUGAGGAGCGAAAGCGUGGGGAGCGAACAGGAUUAGAUACCCUGGUAGUCCACGCCGUAAACGUUGGGCACUAGGUGUGGGGGGCCUUUUCCGGGUCUUCCGCGCCGUAGCUAACGCAUUAAGUGCCCCGCCUGGGGAGUACGGCCGCAAGGCUAAAACUCAAAGGAAUUGACGGA